RNAcentral lists this ribosomal RNA (402 nucleotides) under uncultured bacterium. RNAcentral's name for it is "bacterial SSU rRNA". It matches the Rfam family "Bacterial small subunit ribosomal RNA", at positions 29 to 417 of the family's 1533-position model. The record is from RNAcentral.
AAUCAACGCUGGCGGCGUGCCUAACACAUGCAAGUCGAACGCGAAAGUGGAGCAAUCCAUGAGUAGAGUGGCAAACGGGUGAGUAACGCGUGGGUGACCUGCCUUCGAGUGGGGGAUAACGUUCCGAAAGGGACGCUAAUACCGCAUGACAUCCUGCCUUUGAAGAGGCGGAGAUCAAAGCCGGGGAUCGCAAGACCUGGCGCUUGAUGAGGGGCCCGCGUCUGAUUAGCUAGUUGGUGGGGUAACGGCCUACCAAGGCAACGAUCAGUAUCCGGCCUGAGAGGGCGGACGGACACACUGGGACUGAGACACGGCCCAGACUCCUACGGGAGGCAGCAGUGGGGAAUCUUGCGCAAUGGGCGAAAGCCUGACGCAGCGACGCCGCGUGAGGGAUGACGGCCU